GUUUCCCUCUCUUUCAGUACAACUUCUGCACAUCGGACUCACAGAAAAGGCAAGAUCGAUGCAGCCUUUUGCCAACACCAACACAACGCUGGGGAUCUUCAGAGACUGACACAUGCAAAGGGUCCACUGCCAGACUCAACCGUGGGAGAGGAAACACUACAACCACGAUGCAGCAACGAGGGAACAGAGCAGGCAGAGCAGCGGGUCUGGCACUGGCCACGCGUGCCGGGGUUGAUUCUCUCUCUCCGCCGGUGGACAGGCAGCGUUUGAUGUGAGUUCGUCAGCCAGACUCGCCCGCGUCUGUUAGUGUCUUACAAAGGCCAAUGGGAGCACUUCCAUCAACAGCAGCAGGGACAGGAUCGAGGAAUAUGAGUAUUGAGCAGAAUGGCUGAGGUGGGUGCUGGAUGGGAUGCAAGCUUAGAAACACCACUCCAGGGCCACGGAGAGCGCCACGUGUCCAGGCCGGGUGUAGAAAGUGCGCACCUCCGCCACUGCCUGCAUCACCAUCCAUCC
Portunus trituberculatus (swimming crab) is the source of this 513-nucleotide long non-coding RNA. RefSeq lists it as uncharacterized. The transcript has 3 exons. The record is from RefSeq and is a predicted model, not a curated record. Lineage: Eukaryota; Metazoa; Arthropoda; Malacostraca; Decapoda; Portunidae.